This 1487-nucleotide long non-coding RNA is filed under the name Salmo salar (Atlantic salmon). RNAcentral describes it as "lncRNA (ENSSSAG00000112898.1)". Lineage: Eukaryota; Metazoa; Chordata; Actinopteri; Salmoniformes; Salmonidae. The record is from RNAcentral.
GGGAGGUAGUAUGUAGGGUCUGAGAGAGGGAGGUAGUAUGUAGGGUCUGAUAGAGGGAGGUAGUAUGUAGUCCCUGAUAGAGGGAGGUAGUAUGUAGGGUCUGAUAGAGGGAGGUAGUAUGUAGGGUCUGAGAGAGGGAGGUAGUAUGUAGGGUCUGAUAGAGGGAGGUAGUAUGUAGGGUCUGAGAGAGGGAGGUAGUAUGUAGGGUCUGAUAGAGGGAGGUAGUAUGUAGUCCCUGAGGGAGGUAGUAUGUAGUCCCUGAUAGAGUGAGGUAGUAUGUAGGGUCUGAUAGAUGGAGGUAGUAUGUAGGGUCUGAUAGAGGGAGGUAGUAUGUAGGGUCUGAAAGAGGGAGGUAGUAUGUAGGGUCUGAUAGAGGGAGGUAGUAUGUAGGGUCUGAUAGAGGGAGGUAGUAUGUAGUCCCUGAUAGAGGGAGGUAGUAUGUAGGGUCUGAUAUAGGGAGGUAGUAUGUAGGGUCUGAUAGAGGGAGGUAGUAUGUAGGGCCUGAUAGAGGGAGGUAGUAUGUAGGGUCUGAUAGAGGGAGGUAGUAUGUAGGGUCUGAUAGAGGGAGGUAGUAUGUAGUCCCUGAUAGAGAGAGGUAGUAUGUAGAGUCUGAUAGAGGGAGGUAGUAUGUAGGGUUGAAUAGAGGGAGGUAGUAUGUAGUCACUGAGAGAGGGAGGUAGUAUGUAGGGUCUGAUAGCGGGAGGUAGUAUGUAGGGUCUGAUAGAGGGAGGUAGUAUGUAGUCCCUGAUAGAGAGAGGUAGUAUGUAGAGUCUGAUAGAGGGAGGUAGUAUGUAGGGUCUGAUAGAGGGAGGUAGUAUGUAGGUCUGAUAGAGGGAGGUAGUAUGUAGGGUCUGAUAGAGGGAGGUAGUAUGUAGGGUCUGAUAGAGGGAGGUAGUAUGUAGGGUCUGAUAGAGGGAGGUAGUAUGUAGUCCAUGACAGAGGGAGGUAGUAUGUAGGGUCUGAUAGAGGGAGGUAGUAUGUAGGGUCUGAGAGAGGGAGGUAGUAUGUAGUCCCUGAUAGAGGGAGGUAGUAUGUAGGGUCUGAGAGAGGGAGGUAGUAUGUAGGGUCUGAGAGAGGGAGGUAGUAUGUAGGGUCUGAGAGAGGGAGGUAGUAUGUAGGGUCUGAUAGAGGGAGGUAGUAUGUAGUCCCUGACAGAUGGAGGUAGUAUGUAGUCCCUGAUAGAGGGAGGUAGUAUGUAGGGUCUGAUAGAGGGAGUUAGUAUGUAGGGUCUGAUAGAGGGAGGUAGUAUGUAGGGUCUGAGAGAGGGAGGUAGUAUGUAGGGUCUGAUAGACACUACCCUCUGCAACUGGAUCCUGGACUUCCUGACGGGCCGACCACAGGCUGUGAGGAUUGGCAACAACACCUCCUCCACACUGACUCUUAACACAGGGGGCCCCCCAGGGAUGUGUCCUUAGUCCUCUGCUGUACUUCCUGUUCACCCACGACCGAAUGGCUUUGCAGGACACCAACUCCAUCAUCAAGUUUGC